Lolium perenne is the source of this 1572-nucleotide RNA transcript. It is a transcript of the gene named ribosomal RNA small subunit methyltransferase, chloroplastic, with no coding region annotated. Lineage: Eukaryota; Viridiplantae; Streptophyta; Magnoliopsida; Poales; Poaceae. The record is from RefSeq and is a predicted model, not a curated record.
AUACUCUAGCAGAAAGGAAAAAAAAAAUAGAGACCUUCGAAAAUGGUGGCGCUCACUUCCUUAUCCCCACACUCGCCGAGGCCUUCCCCGUCUACGGCGAAUCCUCGCCGCCGGCCACCGCCGCCUCACGUAACCGCCCCACCCCGCGGCCAUAUCCGGCCCACCGCCGCCGUCGCAUCCGCCGCCACCAACUCCGACGGCGGCGGCGCCGACGACUACCACUCCACCAUCCGCUCGCUCAACUCCCACGGCCGCCACGUCCCCCGCAAAUCCCUCGGCCAGAACUACAUGCUCAACACGAGGGUGAACGAGGAGCUGGUGGCGGCGGCGGGGGUGGAGGAGGGGGACGUCGUGCUCGAGAUCGGCCCGGGGACGGGCUCGCUCACGGCCGCGCUCCUCGCGGCCGGCGCCACAGUCGUCGGCGUCGAGAAGGAUAAGAAUAUGGCUGCCCUUGUCAAAGAUAGGUUCGGAUCCACAAAUCAAUUGAAGAUCAUUGAAGAAGAUAUCACAAAAUUUCAUGUUCACUCCCAUUUUCUCCCUAUCCUGGAGGAGAAAUCCCAUCACAAGAAGAAAUAUGCCAAGGUUGUGUCAAACUUACCAUUCAAUGUCAGCACUGAAGUUGUCAAACAAAUCCUCCCAAUGGGGGAUGUUUUCUCUGUCAUGGUGCUUAUGCUUCAGGAUGAAACAGCGCUACGCCUUGCAAACGCUGCAAUACAAACACCUGAGUACCGACCUAUCAAUGUAUUUGUGAAUUUUUACUCUGAACCUGAGUACAAGUUCAAGGUUGAGAGGGCAAAUUUCUUUCCUCAACCGAAGGUUGAUGGUGGUGUUAUAAGAUUUAAACUAAAGAACGCUGGAGAGUACCCACAUGUUUCUUCCAACAAAAGUUUCUUCGCAAUGGUGAACUCCGCGUUCAAUGGGAAGCGGAAGAUGCUUCGGAAAUCACUUCAACACAUAUGUUCUUCAGCUGACAUCGAGGUCGCUCUUACCAAUAUCGGUCUUCCAGCUACGGCUAGACCAUCUGAUCUGGUGAUGGAUGAUUUCGUGAGGUUGCACAAUCACCUCCCAAAAGUAUGACUGCCCCUGCGCUCAAAAUGCAUAUGGAAUCAUUUUGUUGGUUCACUCGCAGACUCGCUGCAUCAAGCAUGUCGCUAAAGUGUUUGUCUCCCCAGUUAGAGCACACUGCAUCUUGCAGGAAUCUCAGGGUUUUCCUUACUGCAGAUGACAUGUACGCAAGAAUGAACAUACGCAGUGAUUAUGUGUAUACAACCUCUUGUACCGAUCUUGGCAAAAUGGAGGCUGCAAUGUAGAGACCAAAGGUGUCUGUCAGGGCAACCUUUGACCAGGCAAAGAUGCUUGCUACAUUGUAAAUUGCCAAUGCUAUUCAUGUGUGCUGACGCAGAUAUAUGUAUUGUUGUAUUUCGGGUUAAACUUUGAGUUGAAACUGCACCAAAAAGAUGUAGAUAUUCAUGUUGAGCACAAAACUCUGUUGACAUUCUGGCCGAGAGUGCUCUUUUGAUUAUUGCUAUUAUCUUUGCUGGUAUUAAUAUAUGUAAUGCUAGUAAAACACUA